Long non-coding RNA from Crotalus tigris (Tiger rattlesnake), 2884 nucleotides. RefSeq lists it as uncharacterized. The transcript is spliced from 5 exons. NCBI's taxonomy places the organism in Eukaryota, Metazoa, Chordata, Lepidosauria, Squamata, Viperidae. The record is from RefSeq and is a predicted model, not a curated record.
ACAGUUAAAAUAGUUGAGCAGUAAAGCAGACGGUGAUUGUAGUCUUUGUUUGCUCUGUGAGGUGCUUUAUAUAAACAGAAUUUCUAUCAGGUUAUGGGCCCAGAGAUUGCAUCCAAGCACACAGCAGCAGCAUAACAGCCUGAUCAUAGCCAGCUGCAGCAAGUAUUGCUGCCCAGCAUAUUGAUUUAAGGCAUUAUUGUCGGGAGUAACCAAGAUGCCUCUGUCCCCGGGAUUAUCGACCCAUCUAUGGCUCUGAUCGCAGGACUUAUACCAACAAGUGUGAUUUCUGCAAUGGUUAUGUCAUUAUUGUUUGGGGUAUCCAAAGUCCAUCUUCACUAAGGAAUAUCUAUCCCACAGUGGCUCUGAUGGCAGGACAUAUGCCACUAAGUGUCAUUUCUGCAAUGCAUAUGGAUUGGGGUCCACUUGAUGUACCAUUGCUCCCUCCCCAUUAAUAGAAUCUCUAUUAGAAGUAGUAAAUAGUCACCUAUGAGGAAUGGCUAAGUUGGGGAAGGAAGGACUACCCAGGAGCAGAGAGGACACCUGGUCCUGUGCCAUCCUGUCUUACAGAGGAAGGAGCUACCAUUUGGAAACUUAAUAACAAAUAAUCAUUUUGUCACAAUUUAUACUAAUUAUGCUGUCUGAGUCAUUAAAAAGAAGAAUGGAUUACUGUUAUAAAGUGAAUAACUUGUCACUCACUUUCUAACUUUACUCAAUUCUCCAAUGCCCCAAACAAGCAUUUGCCCUCUCAAGUUCCCAUCCCACUGUGUGUCCAACAACAAAACGUACAGCAAUGUUUUUUUUCUGCAAGACUUAUUUGUAAAUAUAAGAUUUACUCUGUAUAGCUUAAGAAGGAAGCAUUACUAUAGGUAGCCCUGUCCUUCUUCUUGAACAAACAAAUUAAUGUUUAAAUUGAAUCUUGUCCUUGUGAAUAUUUACUCAGAAAGGCAUGAUAUUCUAUCAUAGAUGGAUUUUGUAGGACUCCCAAGCAUAACAUUUUAUCUAUUUUAGAUGCCACAACAGAGAAGGUAUGCUUCAAGGAGCCCUCUAGAUGACCACGUUUAAUGGUGAAGCCUCAGAGUGCUCCCACUAUGCCUGUUCUAACUAGAUGGGGGGAGGAUUUGAGACAGGUAACUCUGUUGAAAUAAACACAUCAAUUUCAUUUUACAUAUUUUAGUAUUUAAUUUUAAAAUACACGAGAAAUUCAUUAAUAAUCACAUAUGUAUUUGUAUGUAUUACUAAUAUUAUAUGUUAGCAUAUGUAAGUAAUAGGAGGCAAGAAUUAAACAUUGGUUACUGAUAUCACAUAAAUCAGGAGAAUGUUUCUCAUAAUAGCAUAAGCACUUCUGCAUAUAGUAUAAUCCCCAAACCACUAACAUAUUGGAAUUAGAACCUUCCCCAACAUCUUCCUUGGAUGUGUUUAUCUACAACCAGGAACUCAUUCCCAUUCAGAUAUACUCAAAUGUGAAAUUCUAUCAUCUGCUAUUUGACAUGGGAAGCAAAUCACACACUUUGUUUCUAAAGGCAUAGCUUGAUUAUGAGCACAAGGGUUCAGUACAUCUUCUUUUCUUGAAAGCAGGCAGUGAUGGGGCGAAACAAUUCUGGCCCCAUCAUCAAAAAAUAGAGUUUCCCUGCUUUGCUUCCCCCCAAUCUACUACAAAUGAGGAAAAAACAGUGGCUUCUUCUGGCAUGAACCAUGUACUUGGUUGAGUCAAUGGGCAGUUCCUGGUUUGUAAUGGCAAUUAAGACCAGAAUUGCCCAUUCUAAUUGAUGUGGUCAUACGGUGAGACAUCAUGUAACUAUAGCACCUGGUAAUGGCAGUUCUGGCAGUCACAGUUGCUAUCAUUAAGUGAGGACCAAGAAGGAAUUCCAAAAAAGGAGUAAUAUAGUUCCCACAACCAAUUUCUACAAUCACCCCUAGUCUCCAUUUCACUAUCUAGUACCUACACAGAUAUUUUUUCUUCCUUCAAAGGCUAACUGCUCAAUUACCAACACAGCCAUUUCCUUUCCUUUUUUUCUUUUUUUGUAGCAGAGAAAUUUAAAAUAGGGGCAGAGCGGCCUCCUUAAAUGGUGGAAACUGCAUGGCACUGUACUAAAAGCAGCACCAUUUUUUAAAAUGAAGGCAAGGAAUUGUGGUGGCUCUGAAAUGGCACCUACUUCUCGGAUGAUAUUGCACAGCCUUCAGGCCUGGGAAAUAGGUUACCCAAGGGUCCACCAUUUUCUAUAUGUUCCUUCCUGUUUAACCUGGCACAGCAGGAUGGGCAUCCUCUCAGCUGGCAGGGACCAGGAGGCUUGCCUUUUCUCCCAUAGGGCUUGCCUUCUAGAAUAACCUCCUUCCUGAGAUGAGGAUGGAGUUGACUCUGCUGGCCUUCGGGAAGGCCUUGACGUCCUGACUACGUACCUGUGCCUGAGGUCCUCAAUCUGUGAAGAGCCGAUUUCCUGGUUAUGCUGACAAUAAUGGAUUGUAAUAAAUUUCUGCUGAUAUUUGUGGUUAAUUUCUUUUCUUAAAUGGGUCUUAAUUGUUCUUAUGAUUGUUUGCUGUCGAAAGUCACUGGUUUGAGGUGGGCAGUUAUACAAAAACAAUGAAAAAUGAAAUGAAAUAAGACAGAGAAUUGCUGGGAUAUUGUGAUUCUGGAUAAAGGAAAGAACAGGAAAAGGUCAUUGCAGGUGGUGCUUCUCUUUCCAUCACGUUCUCAAAAGCAGAGGAAGACUUGAUCCUCCAAAGAAUCACUAGAGAUGGUAGCUUCUGGCCAUAAAUAUAAAUUAAAUCUAGUGGCAUGUUGCCACUCACCUGAAUUAAGAAAGUUGACAAAGCCAUUCCUGAUACAGGAAUUUCUGGUAAUGAACUUAAAGUAAGCAGUUUAUCUUCUGUACAACAGCAUAAAUUG